RNAcentral lists this ribosomal RNA (316 nucleotides) under uncultured bacterium. RNAcentral describes it as "bacterial SSU rRNA". It matches the Rfam family "Bacterial small subunit ribosomal RNA", at positions 173 to 507 of the family's 1533-position model. The record is from RNAcentral.
GUCCUUGAUCGCAUGAGUCGGGGCAGAAAGUUUUUUCGGUUGAAGAUGACUUCGCGGCCUAUCAGCUUGUUGGUGAGGUAAUGGCUCACCAAGGCGACGACGGGUAGCCGGCCCUGAGAGGGCGACCGGCCACACUGGGACUGAGACACGGCCCAGACUCCUACGGGAGGCAGCAGUGGGGAAUAUUGGGCAAUGGAGGAAACUCUGACCCAGCGACGCCGCGUGAGGGAUGAAGGCCUUCGGGUUGUAAACCUCUUUCAGUAGGGAAGAAGCGAAAGUGACGGUACCUACAGAAGAAGCACCGGCUAACUAUGUG